Molecule: non-coding RNA, 2357 nt
Organism: Rattus norvegicus (Norway rat)
Lineage: Eukaryota; Metazoa; Chordata; Mammalia; Rodentia; Muridae
Source: RefSeq, a predicted model, not a curated record
AGGCCUUUGACAACAUGUAAUCUGCUGACCUUUUGGAUCCAGCCAUCCUCAUCGUUAAGUGGCUUUCAGCGAGCCAAUCGCUUGCCCUCACAGGACCAUCCUCCCCGAUGGGGAGAGCGCAGCUGCUCCAGAACACGAUGAGUAUCCUUCCAGUCCCUGGGAAAUACUCAACUCCAUAUGGGGUAAAAUCCUGUCCAUAUCAACAUUCAACAUGCUUAUCAAGGGAAAGCAAAGGUCUGAUGUGAAAGUCACAGGGCAGGCACAAGGUAAGCCCCAGGAAGUUGUUAAUCAGUAAGACCUACCUUACUGGCUUCUAUUCCCAUCUGAAGACGGGAAGCAGAGAUCAGCCCGGAAGUUUCAAAGCUCCAGCAGACAAUCGUGAACUGUGAUGAGAUCCAAGCUAGGGACAGAAGGAAAAGGCAGCAAAAGAGGAUGUUUUUGCUGAAGCCGACAUGUGCUGUUUUCUGGAAGUUGCCUGGUGAAAGGGCAUGUGACGUUUUGCUGGAGCAGAUGCUUGAGAGGUCACGUGAUGUUUGGAAAGAGUAUAAAUAGAACCCAACUGACAGUGAAUGAUGCUCUUGCCUUGGUUGACUUGCCACUCUUUACUGGUCUUCGCUUGGCCUCACUGAGGCUGUACUUCGCCGACAACAUUCUUGCAUUAGCUCAUCUUGCUUAAUCUUCACUUGUUUUAGCUUUGUAAAGAGAAAUUCACCAAAGACCUUCUGGUGGUAUCCCGCUGCUUCUUGCCACUUCUCGGGUUCAUGCCAAUCCAGGGAGCCUCGCAGUUUCUUCUGGAUGGAGCCACUGCUACCGAUUCAUGUUUGGUGUUUUGCUAGUGGAUUGCACUGCUGACAACGAAGACUGGAAUCACCCAGAGACUUAUUUCUGAACAGGUUCACUAAACCCGAUUCCUAGUAACCUUUCUUUCCCUUACCACUGGUGGGUGAUGAGCUAGCAGGGAGGUUGAAGCAUGUAGGAACCAUAAGUUAAGUAGGUUUAAAAAUCAAAGCCUACAGUCACUGACAAAGGUCUAAAGAGGCAGGACUCACGUGUGGUGCUGUGAGACUCACUCCACGCUGGGAAACUCUUUGGCAGUUUCUUUAAAAGUGAAGCAAGGACAUGCACCACUACACACUGAUUCCACCCACCCGUAUUCACCCAGGGGCUGUGAAUCACACACUCCAGCAAAGGCAUGAGCCAAUGUUCUUAGCAAUAUUUAAUUAGCUGCCUGGCUCAGGAGAAUGACGUUUAGCAGGUAAAUAAGAAGGAAAUAUUCUGAGGGAAUGGCCAAAAUUGACAUGUGAAUGACUUCAGAACCUGAUAAAAUCACAAAAUAUCAUUGCAUUCUGCAGUUAAAGCAGACAGACCAUACCUGCUACCUUGGGACAUUAUUUAGGCAACAACACUUCCAAUAAUACAAGGAAGAAUAGGGUAGCCUUCCCCUAUCUGCACCACCCCCCGCCCCAUGAACAGGGGAGAUAUUCACAAUUGUCUGGACUCAGAAAUAUGGAGAUAAUUAGUCCAAUUUUAAACGACGCUCUAGUUUCAUCCAAAAACUCAAGAUACAUGUAACUUAACUGCAUCUCAGAAAGAGGAGGCUUAAAAAUGUUAAAAAGUGGAAAGACAUAAAGCCCCAAACAAGGCGAAAUUCACUAUAGUAUCUAGAACUCAGUCAACAAUGAGCAGCCUGUGCCUGUUGCUUUUCCUGUUGCUGUGACAAGAGGCCUGGCACAGGCAAUUCAGGAGGCAGUGUUCUUACUCCCUCUGGAUGGUACAGCACAUCACGAUGGGGUGUAAGGUGGCUGCUCACUCUGAUUGCACAGUCAGAGGCAGAGUGAGGAGAAAGGCUGAGGUUCAGGCUGCUUGGUCCUUCUUGUCCAGUGCAUGACCCCAGCCCGUGGAAUGAUGCUCUCUACAUAUAGGGGCCUCCUCCCUUCACUCUACUCAAUCUAGAGAAUCCCCCACCAUAUACUACAUGCCCAUACGCUAGUCUCCUCAAUGAUCCUAGAUCCUGUUACCUUGACAAUCAAUAAACCACCAAAGGAAAAAUAAGUAGGAUACACACAAUAAAAUAAAGAUUAAAAACAGCUACCUGAAAACAACACAAACCCAGAAAUGGUAGAAUACAGACAACACUAAGUGCUUAUUAUCGCUUUUUAUAACACAGCAUAAUUUCUUUAAUUUUUUUCUUAAUUUUUGAGAUUAUAAUACAAUAAUUUCCCCUUCCUUUUUAUCCCUUCAAACCAUCCCAUAUAUGUAUCUUUGCUAUCUUUCAAAUUCGUGACCUUUUUUAGAUUAAUGCUGUCACAUGCCUAUAUGUAUAUGUGUCUAUAUACCUAAAUACACAAAUACACCCA